RNAcentral lists this ribosomal RNA (1062 nucleotides) under Staphylococcus aureus. RNAcentral's name for it is "partial 23S ribosomal RNA". It matches the Rfam family "Bacterial large subunit ribosomal RNA", at positions 847 to 1909 of the family's 2925-position model. Lineage: Bacteria; Bacillati; Bacillota; Bacilli; Caryophanales; Staphylococcaceae. The record is from RNAcentral.
AGCUGGUUCUCUCCGAAAUAGCUUUAGGGCUAGCCUCAAGUGAUGAUUAUUGGAGGUAGAGCACUGUUUGGACGAGGGGCCCCUCUCGGGUUACCGAAUUCAGACAAACUCCGAAUGCCAAUUAAUUUAACUUGGGAGUCAGAACAUGGGUGAUAAGGUCCGUGUUCGAAAGGGAAACAGCCCAGACCACCAGCUAAGGUCCCAAAAUAUAUGUUAAGUGGAAAAGGAUGUGGCGUUGCCCAGACAACUAGGAUGUUGGCUUAGAAGCAGCCAUCAUUUAAAGAGUGCGUAAUAGCUCACUAGUCGAGUGACACUGCGCCGAAAAUGUACCGGGGCUAAACAUAUUACCGAAGCUGUGGAUUGUCCUUUGGACAAUGGUAGGAGAGCGUUCUAAGGGCGUUGAAGCAUGAUCGUAAGGACAUGUGGAGCGCUUAGAAGUGAGAAUGCCGGUGUGAGUAGCGAAAGACGGGUGAGAAUCCCGUCCACCGAUUGACUAAGGUUUCCAGAGGAAGGCUCGUCCGCUCUGGGUUAGUCGGGUCCUAAGCUGAGGCCGACAGGCGUAGGCGAUGGAUAACAGGUUGAUAUUCCUGUACCACCUAUAAUCGUUUUAAUCGAUGGGGGGACGCAGUAGGAUAGGCGAAGCGUGCGAUUGGAUUGCACGUCUAAGCAGUAAGGCUGAGUAUUAGGCAAAUCCGGUACUCGUUAAGGCUGAGCUGUGAUGGGGAGAAGACAUUGUGUCUUCGAGUCGUUGAUUUCACACUGCCGAGAAAAGCCUCUAGAUAGAAAAUAGGUGCCCGUACCGCAAACCGACACAGGUAGUCAAGAUGAGAAUUCUAAGGUGAGCGAGCGAACUCUCGUUAAGGAACUCGGCAAAAUGACCCCGUAACUUCGGGAGAAGGGGUGCUCUUUAGGGUUAACGCCCAGAAGAGCCGCAGUGAAUAGGCCCAAGCGACUGUUUAUCAAAAACACAGGUCUCUGCUAAACCGUAAGGUGAUGUAUAGGGGCUGACGCCUGCCCGGUGCUGGAAGGUUAAGAGGAGUGGUUAGCUUCUGCGAAGCUACG